GCCUGGCUGGCUCAGUUGGUAGAGUGUGCAACUCUUGACCUCGGAGUUGUGGGUUCGAGCCCCUCGUUGGGUA
This 73-nucleotide transfer RNA is filed under the name Ailuropoda melanoleuca (giant panda). It matches the Rfam family "tRNA". Rfam says of the family: Transfer RNA (tRNA) molecules are approximately 80 nucleotides in length. The record is from Rfam by way of RNAcentral. Lineage: Eukaryota; Metazoa; Chordata; Mammalia; Carnivora; Ursidae.